This 377-nucleotide ribosomal RNA is filed under the name uncultured bacterium. RNAcentral describes it as "bacterial SSU rRNA". It matches the Rfam family "Bacterial small subunit ribosomal RNA", at positions 523 to 898 of the family's 1533-position model. The record is from RNAcentral.
AUACGUAGGUGGCGAGCGUUGUCCGGAAUUACUGGGUGUAAAGGGCGUGUAGGCGGGUUCUUAAGUCAGAUGUGAAAUCCCGGGGCUCAACUCCGGAGCUGCAUCUGAAACUGGGGAUCUUGAGUGCUGGAGGGGAAAGUGGAAUUCCUAGUGUAGCGGUGAAAUGCGUAGAGAUUAGGAGGAACACCAGUGGCGAAGGCGGCUUUCUGGACAGCAACUGACGCUGAGGCGCGAAAGCGUGGGGAGCAAACAGGAUUAGAUACCCUGGUAGUCCACGCCGUAAACGAUGGAUACUAGGUAUAGGGGGUUAAGAUACCCUCUGUGCCGCAGCUAACGUAUUAAGUAUCCCACCUGGGGAGUACGGCCGCAAGGCUGAA